ACACCGGCAGCUCGAGUGGUAGCUGUUUUUAUUGGGCCUAAAGCGUUCGUAGCCGGUUUGAUAAGUCUCUGGUGAAAUCCCACAGCUUAACUGUGGGAAUUGCUGGAGAUACUAUCAUGACUCGAGGUCGGGAGAGGCUGGAGGUACUCCCAGGGUAGGGGUGAAAUCCUGUAAUCCUGGGAGGACCACCUGUGGCGAAGGCGUCCAGCUGGAACGAACCUGACGGUGAGGGACGAAAGCCAGGGGCGCGAACCGGAUUAGAUACCCGGGUAGUCCUGGCCGUAAACGAUGUGGACUUGGUGUUGGGAUGGCUUCGAGCUGCCCCAGUGCCGAAGGGAAGCUGUUAAGUCCACCGCCUGGGAAGUACGGCCGCAAGGCUGAAACUUAAAUGAAUUGGCGGGG
Molecule: ribosomal RNA, 402 nt
Filed under: uncultured bacterium
Lineage: Bacteria
Description: partial 16S ribosomal RNA
Rfam family: Archaeal small subunit ribosomal RNA
Source: RNAcentral